This 478-nucleotide ribosomal RNA is filed under the name uncultured bacterium. RNAcentral's name for it is "partial 16S ribosomal RNA". It matches the Rfam family "Bacterial small subunit ribosomal RNA", at positions 28 to 523 of the family's 1533-position model. The record is from RNAcentral.
GACGAACGCUGGCGGCGUGCUUAACACAUGCAAGUCGAACGGUAAGGCCCUUCGGGGUACACGAGUGGCGAACGGGUGAGUAACACGUGGGUGAUCUGCCCUGCACUUCGGGAUAAGCCUGGGAAACUGGGUCUAAUACCUGAUAGGACUCCGGACUGCAUGGUCUGGGGUGGAAAGCUUUUGCGGUGUGGGAUGGGCACGCGGCCUAGCAGCUUGUUGGUGGGGUGAUGGCCUACCAAGGCGACGACGGGUAGCCGGCCUGAGAGGGUGACCGGCCAAACUGGGACUGAGAUACGGCCCAGACUCCUACGGGAGGCAGCAGUGGGGAAUAUUGCACAAUGGGCGCAAGCCUGAUGCAGCGACGCCGCGUGAGGGAUGACGGCCUUCGGGUUGUAAACCUCUUUCAGCAUCGACGAAGCGAAAGUGACGGUAGGUGCAGAAGAAGGACCGGCCAACUACGUGCCAGCCGCCGCCGUAA